AGCUUAGGACCACAUGUGCGCCUAAAUAAAAAUAGGACUUAGCUUUGCAAUUUCAUAAUUUUAGGACUAAAGUGACACCAAUUCAAUAAUAGUAGGACCGUGGAUGUAUUUACCUCAUCUUUAAUUGCAGAGACGCAAAUGGAUAGAGUACACUCUUUAGUUAAAUAAAUAAAUUGUUCUUUCAAAAAGUGACGUAACUUUGCAAAUUUAUUCAUUUGAUUGAACUAACCAGGGUCGGAGAGUACUUUAAUGAUGACUCAUUUGCAUGAUUGCAUCUCUAUUUUAUUGGAUAGGAAGAUGGGAACAUCCAAACCAGAAUAUGUCCUUUCAGUUAAAAAAAAAAGAAUAUGUCCUUUCGGGUGCAAAUGUACAGCUAAGAUGGAACAUACAAUCCACCACUUUGUAUAUUUUGACAGAACCCUUACAUACAUGCCUUUCUCACUGUCACUCUAUCCCUUUCUCUCGUCCUAAAUGAGGGGGUUUCGUAUAACAAGUCAUGCAACAAAAUGAC
This 511-nucleotide long non-coding RNA is filed under the name Brachypodium distachyon (stiff brome). Its description in RNAcentral is "long non-coding RNA (BDIS_LNC002311)". Lineage: Eukaryota; Viridiplantae; Streptophyta; Magnoliopsida; Poales; Poaceae. The record is from RNAcentral.